CCUACGGGAGGCAGCAGUGGGGAAUAUUGCACAAUGGGCGCAAGCCUGAUGCAGCAACGCCGCGUGAGGGACGGCGGCCUUCGGGUUGUAAACCUCUUUUAGUAGGGAAGAAGCGAAAGUGACGGUACCUGCAGAAAAAGCACCGGCUAACUACGUGCCAGCAGCCGCGGUAAUACGUAGGGUGCAAGCGUUGUCCGGAAUUAUUGGGCGUAAAGAGCUCGUAGGCGGUUUGUCGCGUCUGCUGUGAAAUCUGGGGGCUCAACCCCCAGCCUGCAGUGGGUACGGGCAGACUAGAGUGCGGUAGGGGAGAUUGGAAUUCCUGGUGUAGCGGUGGAAUGCGCAGAUAUCAGGAGGAACACCGAUGGCGAAGGCAGAUCUCUGGGCCGUAACUGACGCUGAGGAGCGAAAGCAUGGGGAGCGAACAGGAUUAGAUACCCUGGUAGUCCAUGCCGUAAACGUUGGGAACUAGAUGUGGGGACCGAUUCCACGGUCUCCGUGUCGCNGCUACGACAUUAACGUUACCCCGUCCCGUCGGGAGGUACGGCCGGCCGACGGACGUAAACCUAACCAACGAAGUAAGUACGGUACGGCGNGAGACGCGACCGACGACCGACCGACGGAGGGAGGAG
Molecule: ribosomal RNA, 629 nt
Filed under: uncultured bacterium
Lineage: Bacteria
Description: bacterial SSU rRNA
Rfam family: Bacterial small subunit ribosomal RNA (bases 1-528)
Source: RNAcentral